Molecule: regulatory RNA element, 46 nt
Organism: Strigamia maritima
Lineage: Eukaryota; Metazoa; Arthropoda; Chilopoda; Geophilomorpha; Linotaeniidae
Rfam family: Histone 3' UTR stem-loop
About the family: The mRNAs of metazoan histone genes lack a poly-A tail.
Source: Rfam
CCAACGGCCCUCUUUAGGGCCACAAAACUAUUCCAAACCAAGUUUG